AGAGUUUGAUCAUGGCUCAGGAUGAACGCUAGCUACAGGCUUAACACAUGCAAGUCGAAGGGAAACGACAUCGAAAGCUUGCUUUUGAUGGGCGUCGACCGGCGCACGGGUGAGUAACGCGUAUCCAACCUGCCCAUCACUUGGGGAUAACCUUGCGAAAGUAAGACUAAAUACCCAAUGACGUCUCUAGAAGACAUCUGAAAGAGAUUAAAGAUUUAUCGGUGAUGGAUGGGGAUGCGUCUGAUUAGCUUGUUGGCGGGGUAACGGCCACAAGGCGACGAUCAGUAGGGGUCUGAGAGGAAGGUCCCCCANAUUGGAACUGAGACACGGUCCCAAAACUCCUACGGGAGGCA
Molecule: ribosomal RNA, 353 nt
Filed under: uncultured bacterium
Lineage: Bacteria
Description: bacterial SSU rRNA
Rfam family: Bacterial small subunit ribosomal RNA
Source: RNAcentral